This 804-nucleotide unclassified non-coding RNA is filed under the name Leishmania donovani. RNAcentral's name for it is "gene:unknown". The record is from RNAcentral. Lineage: Eukaryota; Euglenozoa; Kinetoplastea; Trypanosomatida; Trypanosomatidae.
CAUGAUAGUCCACCUCUUUGCCUGUGUGCGUGCACAAUCGCCGCAGCUCGAAGGAUAAAGGACAUAACAGGGUCGGAGGAAUACGCCGUGCGUUGAAGCUCGAGAUGCAGAACAACCCCCUAGCCCGUCGUGGCAACGAGAGACAGAGUCCCAGUGCUUGCGUGAGCGGUUAGAUGGCCGCGCACCGUUGUGCUUGCGUCUGACUGUGUGAUGUUCUUUUUUUUUUCGUCGUAUUUGCUGUAAUCUGUUCGCAAAGCGAUGCGCCCAAUGAUAUCCCUGCGCACACUUUACACAUGAAAGACAGCGUUUCGCGCUCUCUUUUCAGGUGGUCAUCAGGGGGCAUUGCUUGAUCACGGGGCUGGUGCCUCGUGCGUCGAUGUAAGCAACGCGCGGGCUGUCCUCAAUCUUUCGGGCCCUGUUGACGGGCUAUACCUCCCCGUGUGUGAUCAGGGUCCGAGCGCCCCCACUCUGCAUGGAUGCCGAACCACCCCCACUGCCCUAUCCCUGCCAACGCGGCGCCACUGAUGGUGGCGACAGGGUCCAGCGCCCACGACGUGGCGUGGCGUCGGGGCGACCUGCGAGGCGGGUGGUGGGCAGAGUUCGAGGCCGCGGCCGUGCUCAUGUGACUGAGUCGGCGCAUUGCUGUGACGCGCGUGUGUAGCGCUGCUUCGAGCAACGAGGUGAGCGCGUUGAAAAAGAAAGAACUCUCUCCUCUUGGGUACUUGUUCCACCUUAAUUGCUUACCGAUUCGGGCCCCUCCACUGCAUCUGCCUCUCUUUUGUCUUUACUUGCUUUCGCGGGUAG